GGGCAGGGCUGUGGCAGGAAGCAGCCCCUCAGCCCAGGUCCUCCUCCCCCAGGGCUGUCCAGGAAGCCCAUGGGGGUCAUCUGGAGGGGACUCAGCCCUAGAAGGGCAGAAAGCCAAUGGGGUCCUCCCAAGCAUGGUCAUUUUCAUUGCCAUCAUUGGAAUCCUGAAGGUUCCAGGUGGGGAGUGGGAGAGUCAUGUUGAGGCCACAGGGCAGAGGAGAGUAAGCAGAGACAAGGUCCCCAGGGACCGUGUCCUCUUGUGCCCAUUCCCAGGAUUCUCUGGGGGCCCCAUCCCCCCACUCUCAGGACCCAGCCCUGCAGCAGGGAGGCCUCCCAGGGAAGCCUCCAGGACCCCACCCUGCACAGUCUGUAGGGAGCAGGAAAAAGGACGACACCAGAGACCCCUGCAGCCGGUCCUGGCCUCCCUGUGAGCCACUAUAACACAAAGCUAAUAUGAAUAAAGAAGAAAGAAGACAUAGAGAGAGAGCUGGGUCUUGGGGCUGAUCGGGGGGCUGCUUUGGGCAGCAAAGACAAAGGCCCCCAAGGACAGCCAGGAUUUACUGGUUACAAGCAUGGGAAGAAAGUGGAGCAGGGUAUGUUUUGAAGACAUCUAAUGAUAUAAGGCCAAACAUCUGGCAUGAUGGCACCAAGCAGGGCUGUAAGGGAGGAGACACUGCUAUCUUGCUUGGAUAGCACAAACUGAUAUUGG
RNAcentral lists this long non-coding RNA (708 nucleotides) under Heterocephalus glaber (naked mole-rat). RNAcentral describes it as "lncRNA (ENSHGLG00000042813.1)". The record is from RNAcentral. Lineage: Eukaryota; Metazoa; Chordata; Mammalia; Rodentia; Bathyergidae.